GUAAAGUGGCGCACGGGUGAGUAACGCGUAGAUAACCUGUCUUCAUGUCUGGAAUAAUACGCCAAAGGGGUACUAAUACCGGAUAUUCUUGCUUUUCAUAAGUUAUGCAAGCAAAGGUGGCCUCUGCAUAUGCUACUGCAUGAAGAGGGGUCUGCGUACCAUUAGCUAGUAGGUGGGGUAAUGGCCUACCUAGGCGACGAUGGUUAGCGGGUCUGAGAGGAUGAUCCGCCACACUGGCACUGGAACACGGGCCAGACUCCUACGGGAGGCAGCAGUGAGGAAUAUUGCGCAAUGGGGAAACCUGACGCAGCGACGCCGCGUGAGUGAGGAAGGCCUUCGGGUCGUAAAGCUCUGUCAAGAGGAAAGAAGUGUACAAUGGCUAAUACCUGUUGUAUUUGACGGUACCUCUAAAGGAAGCACCGGCUAACUCCGUGCCAGCAGCCGC
This 445-nucleotide ribosomal RNA is filed under the name uncultured bacterium. Its description in RNAcentral is "bacterial SSU rRNA". It matches the Rfam family "Bacterial small subunit ribosomal RNA", at positions 90 to 518 of the family's 1533-position model. The record is from RNAcentral.